CCUGAAGUUGCCAUCUGAUUAUUUUAAAGUUCUAAAGUUGGUAGCUUGCUGGUUGGGAGAUAUAUAUAUGUACACACACAUGUAUACAUAUACAGUCUAGUGUGUGAAGCACACAGAUCUUAAGUGUGCAGCUCAAUGACUUUUUACAUAGGGAUACACGCGUGUCGCCACCCAGAUCACCAGGAUCUAGAAGGUUUUCUGCACCCCGGAAGAUUCCCUUGUGUUCUUCCCCAGACUUUUACAGGUCGGAUCAGCUAAUCCUGGGUCACAGAGUGCAUGCCUGAGACAGAAUCAAAGACAGUGAGUCAUCUGAGGGCCAAAGCUGGGAGCAGGAAGCCAGGACCACUCUGCGGCCUCUCAACUUGGAGAGUACUGUACCUUCUUGUGUGAUCUUGGGAAAGUGGCGUGACCUUUGGUGAUUCAGCUUUUCCAUUUUCUUGGCCCCACCUUUCUUUCAGCCAGCUGUGCAGAAGGCCCAAGAUAAACAGCUUGCUGAAGGAGAGACAGCACGGAGGAUUUUUCUUAAAGGGAAGACAAUGCCAAGGAUCUGCUUCCACGCCUUCCAUGAUGGCUCCACUCCUAGCUUCAGUCCCCACCCUGUGCCCUACAUUUGUCCUGGGCUCGCUCCUAGCACAGUGUUCCAUCUGCUGUUGGCCAC
This 658-nucleotide long non-coding RNA is filed under the name Equus caballus (horse). RNAcentral describes it as "lncRNA (ENSECAG00000028193.2)". Lineage: Eukaryota; Metazoa; Chordata; Mammalia; Perissodactyla; Equidae. The record is from RNAcentral.